GUGGAUAUAGCUCAGCUGGUUAGAGCGCAGGAUUGUGGCUCCUGAGGCCGUGGGUUCAAAUCCCAUUAUCCACC
This 74-nucleotide transfer RNA is filed under the name Orenia marismortui. It matches the Rfam family "tRNA". From Rfam's summary of the family: Transfer RNA (tRNA) molecules are approximately 80 nucleotides in length. Their secondary structure includes four short double-helical elements and three loops (D, anti-codon, and T loops). Lineage: Bacteria; Bacillati; Bacillota; Clostridia; Halanaerobiales; Halobacteroidaceae. The record is from Rfam by way of RNAcentral.